RNAcentral lists this small RNA (493 nucleotides) under Rattus norvegicus (Norway rat). RNAcentral's name for it is "uncharacterized LOC103693322". The record is from RNAcentral. Lineage: Eukaryota; Metazoa; Chordata; Mammalia; Rodentia; Muridae.
UGCCACCGCCUGACAAUGCCAACUCGUGGAGCUCUUUAUAAUGCCGGAGCCGGGCACCACCUCGUAACAACGAAUGCUUUCAUUGGCUAAGCAAACCCAGCCUCCCAGAAGAGGAGAAUGAGACGCAGGAAGUCCCUAAAUCCAAGGUCGCCCGGAGGAAGGAGCCUAAUCUUGGCUUCCGAGAUAAGGAGUGCUCGGAUCAUCCGAGGCCUUCAGCGCGGCCUGCUCCCAAACCUCGGCAUCCUGAGAUACCGGUGCUCCUGCCCUCUCUUAAGUGAUCCUGGCUGGUGCCAUGUGUGGAGGUCUGGCGCCGUGAAUAUUGGACCGUGGUAUUCCCAGUGCAGAUACUUAACAUCGCGUUUAAAGUGUAUUUCUUUACUUUGAUUCCGUUUUGUGUUUUGUAAAACGGUCCAGUAUCCUCCGACUGGCCUUGAACUCAUAAUCCUCCAUUUUCACCCCCUCAGUGUUGGAAUUAUAUGCUUCACCACCACCA